UACGUAGGCAGCGAGCGUUGUUCGGAUUUACUGGGCGUAAAGAGUGCGUAGGCGGUUUUCUAAGUUUGGUGUGAAAUCUCCCGGCUUAACUGGGAGGGUGCGCCGAAGACUGGAAGGCUAGAGUAUGGGAGAGGUAAGCGGAAUUCCUGGUGUAGCGGUGAAAUGCGUAGAUAUCAGGAGGAACACCCGCGGUGUAGACGGCUUACUGGACCAUAACUGACGCUGAGGCACGAAAGCGUGGGUAGCAAACAGG
Molecule: ribosomal RNA, 253 nt
Filed under: uncultured bacterium
Lineage: Bacteria
Description: partial 16S ribosomal RNA
Rfam family: Bacterial small subunit ribosomal RNA
Source: RNAcentral